RNAcentral lists this ribosomal RNA (506 nucleotides) under uncultured bacterium. RNAcentral describes it as "partial 16S ribosomal RNA". It matches the Rfam family "Bacterial small subunit ribosomal RNA", at positions 28 to 523 of the family's 1533-position model. The record is from RNAcentral.
GGUGAACGCUGGCGGUAGGCCUAACACAUGCAAGUCGAACGGCAGCACAGGAGAGCUUGCUCUCUGGGUGGCGAGUGGCGGACGGGUGAGGAAUACAUCGGAAUCUACUCUGUCGUGGGGGAUAACGUAGGGAAAAUUACGCUAAUACCGCAUACGAACUACGGGUGAAAGCAGGGGACCUUCGGGUCUUGCGCGGGUGAAUGAGCGGAUGUCGGAUUCGCCAGUUGGCGGGGUAAAGGCCCACAAAGGCGACGAUCCGUAGCUGGUCUGAGAGGAGGAUCAGCCACACUGGAACUGAGACACGGGCCAGACUCAUACGGGAAGCAGCAGUGGGGAAUAUUGGACAAUGGGCGCAAGCCUAAUCCAGCCAUACCGCGUGGGUGAAGAAGGCCUUCGGGUUGUAAAGCCCUUUUGUUGGGAAAGAAAUCCAGCUGGCUAAUACCCUGUUGGGAUGACUGUACCCAAAGAAUAAGCACCGGCUAACUUCGUGCCAGCCGCCGCCGUAA